RNAcentral lists this long non-coding RNA (2218 nucleotides) under Homo sapiens (human). RNAcentral's name for it is "HSALNT0135969". The record is from RNAcentral. Lineage: Eukaryota; Metazoa; Chordata; Mammalia; Primates; Hominidae.
CUCCUGGCCUCAGUGUCCUGAGUAAAUGGGAUACUACAGGUCAACACCGUCACCACUCAACUGAUAUCUUACUGCUUUUAUGAAGCCUUCCUUGAUUCCUCCGGCGGGGUGAUACCUCUCAGUAUCUUCCAUGAUGAAGAAAGACAUCUCAAUUUCCCUCUGAAUCUCCAGCUUCAGGGCAUGGUGGGCCAUUUGAAGACUUCUGGAGUCAAGAGAUAAAGGGAAGCAUUAGUUCCAUUGGGUCCUGUUUGAUCUUUAUACCAUCAACACGGAGCUCAGAGCUUCCCUGCUUCCCUUUCGCUCCUCAAGGUCACCAGAAGGACGUGGGCUUUUUGAUGUUCAAAGAAAGUCUGAAAGCCUCGCCUGGUCUUCUGAGCCUGAGCGUGCUGUUGGCAGGCUCUUCUGAAUCAAGUUGGGGCAGAGGAGGAUUCCUCGUCUCUUUCUGAGGCAGAUCCCACAGUCGUUAGGAGCUGGAUGAGCACGUUCUUUAAUAGAUUUCCUUUUUAUUUUUCUGGGUCUCAUCUGAAAUUUUUGACCCUUGCACGUCUCCAUUCUCUCAACCUUCUUUCUGACCAGAAAAUUCCUUCUGUAAUUUUGGCUACACAAGAGUAUCAAGGAAUGCUUAGGGGGCAAACAGAGUACUUCGAGAACAGCAUGCAUUCGGGCCAAGCUCCCAAGGCCAUGCUGAGCAUACGUCUCCAGCUCACAGCUUCGGGAAGCUGAGAGGAACAGAGGUCCUCAAUCUCAGAAAGAAAUAAAAGCAGAUCAGGGAAUCACCUCUCCCUUUUCCCUUAGUGAAAUAUUUUAAUGAGUUUUGAGGCUGUCUCUGUGUGUAUGAAAUGCCAGGAGUCUGCAUCUCAGCUGUUAUGACCAGAGGUCUUCUCUUGGGUGCUGGUGAGGACUGAGGACUAGCUGGCUUCAGGAAAGCUGCUUCAGCUGCUUUUCCUGCCAGCCACACAGCAGGAACAAGAAACAACUUUGGCUGGGCAUGGUGGCUCACGCCUGUAAUCCCAGCACUUUGGGAAGCCGAGCCAGGAGGAUCAGGAGGUCAGGAGUUCAAGACCAGCCUGGCCAUCAUAGUGAAACCCCAUCUCUACUAAAAAUACAAAAAAUUACCUGGGCCUGGUGGCGGGCGCCUGUAAUCCCAGCUACUCGGGAGGCCGAGGCAGGAGAAUCACUUGAAGCCAGGAGGCGGAGGUUUCAGUAAGCAGAGAUCACACCACUGCACUCCAGCCUGGAUGACAGUGCGAGACUCCAUUUCAAAAGAGAAAAAAAAGAAAAAGAAAAAGAAAAAGAAACAACUUUGCAGUUGUUUUUUUGCAGUUGUUGCACUGAGAGGAGUAGGAGGUAAGAGAGAGAGGGGGCAUGUGUUAGUUUGCCUGCUGUCACUCAGUGACUUGGAGGAAUGGAGAUUUAGGUCAAGGAUACAUUUCCAAGAAGGGAGACAAUAUGUCACAGUAUCCCCAGAACGAGCCAUGGGGCUGGGCUCAGAGACAUGGGAGCAUAGCUUGGGAACUUAAAGACACAACUCAAGUCACUAGGUUCUCUGACUCCCUCCGUCCCAGCCUCUGCAUUUAUUGGUCCCUUACAAUUAUGGUGACUCAGAAUGUCUCAGUUUCUACUUCUAGCACUCAGGACACAGCUCACUGGUGAUCUGAUUCUCCACCCUUUGCAUAUGUUUGUUUCUGUUGCUCUGAUCUUUGGCUUACUCAUGGCGUCUACCUACUUUUGGGCCUUCAUGGCCUGUCUUCCUUCUGUGUGAUUUUCAGUACUCUUUGGCUCCCACUCCCACAAUUAGCUGUUGAUUCUUUUUUCCUGUACCUUCUGUUUAAGUUCAAUAGAAAGAUAAUUUGAUUGGUUGGAGUGAAUCAUCACUAGCCUUCCUGCUCUUUGGUUAUGAGGUACUUCAUAGGUCCAACCUAUAGAGUUGGUCAACCUUGGGGCAGGAGCUCGCCCUAACUCCAACCAGCUUGGCCAGAGGCACCAACACGCUGGUCAAAGCAGGACAGCACAUAGAAGAUUUGAGAAAUGAUCUGCUUAAUGCAAUGGGUUUUAGGGGAUGACAGUUCUUUCACUUUGUAGCUGUGUGGCCUUGGGUGACUUCUUUAAUUUUUCUGAGCUUAUUUCUUUGCCUGUAAAAAUGUGGAUGAAGGUACUAUCUUGCAGUGAUGUGUGGAUUAGAGGUAAAUUAUCUAAAGUAUCUAAUAAACAGUGUGUG